GACGAACGCUGGCGGCGUGCUUAACACAUGCAAGUCGAACGGAAAGGCCCUGCUUUUGUGGGGUGCUCGAGUGGCGAACGGGUGAGUAACACGUGAGUAACCUGCCCUUGACUUUGGGAUAACUUCAGGAAACUGGGGCUAAUACCGGAUAGGAGCUCCUGCUGCAUGGUGGGGGUUGGAAAGUUUCGGCGGUUGGGGAUGGACUCGCGGCUUAUCAGCUUGUUGGUGGGGUAGUGGCUUACCAAGGCUUUGACGGGUAGCCGGCCUGAGAGGGGGACCGGGCACAAUGGUACUGAGGUACGGCCCAGAAUGCUACGGGAGGCAGUGGGGGAGAAUAUUGCACAAUGGGCGGAAGCCUGAGGCAGAAACGCCGCGUGCGUGAUGACGGCCUUCUGGUUGUAAACCGCUUUCGCCUGUGACGAAGCGUGAGUGACGGUAAUGGGUAAAGAAGCACCGGCUAACUACGUG
RNAcentral lists this ribosomal RNA (468 nucleotides) under uncultured bacterium. RNAcentral describes it as "partial 16S ribosomal RNA". It matches the Rfam family "Bacterial small subunit ribosomal RNA", at positions 28 to 507 of the family's 1533-position model. The record is from RNAcentral.